AGAACGAACGCUGGCGGCAUGCCUAAUACAUGCAAGUCGAACGAACUCUUCGGAGUUGGUGGCGCACGGGUGCGUAACGCGUGGGAAUCUGCCCUUGGGUUCGGAAUAACAGUUGGAAACGACUGCUAAUACCGGAUGAUGACGAAAGUCCAAAGAUUUAUCGCCCAGGGAUGAGCCCGCGUAGGAUUAGCUAGUUGGUGAGGUAAAGGCUCACCAAGGCGACGAUCCUUAGCUGGUCUGAGAGGAUGAUCAGCCACACUGGGGACUGAGACACGGCCCAGACUCCUACGGGAGCAGCAGUAGGGAAUAUUGGACAAUGGGCGAAAG
Molecule: ribosomal RNA, 327 nt
Filed under: uncultured soil bacterium
Lineage: Bacteria
Description: bacterial SSU rRNA
Rfam family: Bacterial small subunit ribosomal RNA
Source: RNAcentral